UCUGUGGCCCAGUUGGUAGGGCAACUGAUUCGUAAUCAGUAGGUCACGGGUUCGAGUCCCGUCAG
RNAcentral lists this transfer RNA (65 nucleotides) under bovine gut metagenome. It matches the Rfam family "tRNA", at positions 5 to 66 of the family's 71-position model. Rfam says of the family: Transfer RNA (tRNA) molecules are approximately 80 nucleotides in length. Their secondary structure includes four short double-helical elements and three loops (D, anti-codon, and T loops). The record is from RNAcentral.